UGCGAAGUGUCCGCACAGUGUCCCCCUCGCGCUGCGAGGGGUUAACGGGAAGCCGGUGAUCCCCAGGAAAAUCCGGCGCUGCCCCCGCAACGGUGAUCGAGUAAAGAUCCCACCCCCGGUCCGCCACAUGGUCGGGACCGGAGCCACUGCGCUAGCGCGCGGGAAGGUGGUGGAAUCGAGGCACGUCCUCGCUCGUCAGCCCGGAGACCGGCUCUGCGGACCCGGCGCCG
RNAcentral lists this non-coding RNA (230 nucleotides) under Gammaproteobacteria bacterium. Lineage: Bacteria; Pseudomonadati; Pseudomonadota; Gammaproteobacteria. The record is from RNAcentral.